UUGUUUAACGUUGCAUCUGUAAGUUUCUGAUUCUGCAAAGGUGUUGCCUGUGAUUUAAUGAGCAGAAAACUAUACUCCUGAUUUUAUACUCUGUUUGUUGAUCAUUCAAGUGUUUCUAUGAAUUCUUAAUAUGUGAUCUAGCAUAUCAACAGUUUUAUGCAGGGGUUAUAUUAGAUACGGUCUGGAUAUUUUAUUGACAAGGUCAAUGCAUUUAUCACAUAUUAUUUUUGAUUGCAGAUGCUAGCCAUGUUCUUUGGUGCAACACUAUUUUUUAAGCAAUUGAUAUUUACAACUGACGCUCCACUUUACUUUUUUUACUGAUAGCUGCAACAUCCUUGGGGAGGCCAUGAUUCCAUGUAUUUUGUUGGCAUUAGGAGGAAAUCUUGUGGAUGUUGGUACAGGAGAUGCAGCAAGAGCAAGAUAAAGCUUCUUCACCUUUUUCUCCUGAUGACAGUAAGGAAUUCACAAAAAAAUUACAGAUCAGACUAAGAUCAUAGGCUAUAGGGUGUUGAGAUGAACUGUAGAUGUUAAUUGGUGGUUGUAUGGUAAUUAAUUGAUAUUUUUGAGUUAUUUUAUUUUGUUUUUAGAGAAUAUUAGAAGGAACGUGUGUAAUUUGCAUUAUGAAUGAUAAAUUGUGUAGCUUAACUUGAAAAUAUGAAUGAUAAUGUCCAAUGCAAGUUGUAAAGUUGUUGAA
Molecule: long non-coding RNA, 694 nt
Organism: Mercurialis annua (annual mercury)
Lineage: Eukaryota; Viridiplantae; Streptophyta; Magnoliopsida; Malpighiales; Euphorbiaceae
Exons: 3
Source: RefSeq, a predicted model, not a curated record